GGUCGCUUAGCUCAGUUGGUUAGAGCGUGGUGCUAAUACAAUCCCUUGCGGAUGCUGUGAAAAACGCCAAGGUCGCGAGUUCGACCCUCGUAGUGACCA
This is a non-coding RNA of Pseudovirgaria hyperparasitica, 99 nucleotides long. NCBI's taxonomy places the organism in Eukaryota, Fungi, Ascomycota, Dothideomycetes, Acrospermales, Acrospermaceae. The record is from the annotation of a RefSeq genome assembly.